GCAAACUUGGUCAUUUAGAGGAAGUAAAAGUCGUAACAAGGUUUCCGUAGGUGAACCUGCGGAAGGAUCAUUCACAAUAAGAGUGUUUAUGGCACUCUUCCAAAAAAAUCCAUACCCACCUUGUGUGCAAUGUAAAAGAGUCUUGGCGGAAAGGAACAAAGCGUUCCAGGAAAACCAGGCUUUUUCAUUCUAUAUACACCUUUCUAUAAGCUUCUAUUGUCUAAAGUGAUUAAGAAUACAUAAUUCUAAAUACAACUUUCAACAACGGAUCUCUUGGCUCUCGCAUCGAUGAAGAACGCAGC
This 302-nucleotide unclassified non-coding RNA is filed under the name uncultured fungus. RNAcentral describes it as "partial contains small subunit ribosomal RNA, internal transcribed spacer 1, and 5.8S ribosomal RNA". The stretch from base 1 to 73 matches the Rfam family "Eukaryotic small subunit ribosomal RNA", at positions 1759 to 1831 of the family's 1831-position model. Lineage: Eukaryota; Fungi. The record is from RNAcentral.